GUGUCACUUCUAUAGCACACAUACUAAAAUUGGAAUGCUACAGAGAAAAUGAGCCUUAGCCCCCAUGCAAAGAUGACAUGCAAAUUCUGAAGUGUUCCAUAUUUUU
Molecule: small nuclear RNA, 106 nt
Organism: Artibeus jamaicensis (Jamaican fruit-eating bat)
Lineage: Eukaryota; Metazoa; Chordata; Mammalia; Chiroptera; Phyllostomidae
Source: RefSeq, a predicted model, not a curated record